Molecule: unclassified non-coding RNA, 276 nt
Filed under: Papiliotrema mangalensis
Lineage: Eukaryota; Fungi; Basidiomycota; Tremellomycetes; Tremellales; Rhynchogastremaceae
Description: partial contains 5.8S ribosomal RNA, internal transcribed spacer 2, and large subunit ribosomal RNA
Source: RNAcentral
CGCACCUUGCGCCUUUUGGUAUUCCGAAAGGCAUGCCUGUUUGAGUGUCAUGAAAUCUCAAUCCCACCUGGUUUUGUUACUGGGUGUGGACUUGGACCUGGGCGUCUGCCAGUCAAAUGGCUCGCCUCAAAUGACUUAGUGGGAUCUCUCUGACAUCCGCGACAGACGUAAUAAGUUUCGUCUUGUCCCUUGUCUAAUCGAGCCUGCUCAUAACCUGCCAUCGCGCACCUUUUUGACUCUGACCUCAAAUCAGGUAGGACUACCCGCUGAACUUAA